Molecule: ribosomal RNA, 353 nt
Filed under: Megaporus howittii
Lineage: Eukaryota; Metazoa; Arthropoda; Insecta; Coleoptera; Dytiscidae
Also listed under: 1 other name
Description: partial 12S ribosomal RNA
Source: RNAcentral
UUUAAAUAUAAAUAAAUGAUACUUAAUUAGUAGUAGUUAUGUUCUUUAAAUUUAAAGAUUUUGGCGGUGUUUUAGUCUAUUCAGAGGAACCUGUUCUGUAAUUGAUAGUCCACGAUAAAUUAUACUUAAUUUAUAAAUUUGUAUAUCGUCGUUAUUAAAUAUUUUAUAAGAAUUUUAAUGUUUAAGAUUUUAUAUUAAAUUAUAUAUCAGAUCAAGGUGCAGUUGAUAAUUAAGGAGAAAUGGGUUACAUUAAAUUUAUUUAUUAUGGAAUUAUAUAUGAAAAUUUGUAAUGAAGGUGGAUUUGAUAGUAAUAAGAUUUAUAUAGAUUUUAUGAUUUUAGCUCUAAGAUGUGU